AAGUCGUAACAAGGUUUCCGUAGGUGAACCUGCGGAAGGAUCAUUACCGAGUGUCGGGUUUGCCCUCGCGGCGCCCACCUCCAACCCUGUGUCAAUUGUACCUCUGUGUUGCUUCGGCGGGCCCGUUGUUCGGGCUCACGCCUGGACGACCGCCGGGGGAGCUUCAUCGCUCUCCGGGCCCGCGCCCGCCGACAGCCUCCAACCAAAAUACUUAUAAACGCGUCUGAAACAAUUAAAGAUUAAUUAAAUUAAAACUUUCAACAACGGAUCUCUUGGUUCUGGCAUCGAUGAAGAACGCAGCGAAAUGCGAUAAGUAAUGCGAAUUGCAGAAUCCGUGAGUCAUCGAAUUUUUGAACGCACAUUGCGCCCUUUGGUAUUCCGAAGGGCAUGCCUGUUCGAGCGUCAUUAUCACCCCUCAAGCCCUCGUGGUUUGGUGUUGGGCCAGCCCGGUGUCUUCGCACCCGGGCGGCCCCAAAGACAAUGACGGCGCGUCGGCGGACCCCAGUACACUGAGCUCUCGGGCACGUACUCGGUUUAGGACCUCGACGUCGACCGGUCGCUUUUGGCGGGCGGGUGUAGCGAUACCUCGCCCCCUAUUUUUUGAAAGUUGACCUCGGAUCAGGUAGGGAUACCCGCUGAACUUAAGCAUAUCAAUAAGCGGAGGAAAAGAAACCAACAGGGAUUGCCCUAGUAACGGCGAGUGAAGCGGCAACAGCUCAAAUUUGAAAUCUGGCGUCAAGCCCGAGUUGUAAUUUGUAGAGGAUGUUUCGGGUACCGCCCGGGCUUAAAUUUCUUGGAACAGGAUGUCACAGAGGGUGAGAGUCCCGUCUGGAGCCUGCGGUAGGGCCUAUGUGAAGCUCCUUCGACGAGUCGAGUUGUUUGGGAAUGCAGCUCUAAAUGGGUGGUAAAUUUCAUCUAAAGCUAAAUAUUGGCCAGAGACCGAUAGCGCACAAGUAGAGUGAUCGAAAGAUGAAAAGCACUUUGAAAAGAGAGUUAAACAGUAUGUGAAAUUGUUGAAAGGGAAGCGCUGGCGACCAGACUUGCGGGCGGUGGUUCCCCCUUCCUUUUGGUUGGGCUACUCCAUCGUCAUCAGGCCAACAUCGGUUGCGGGGGCCGGUCAAAGGCUUCGGGAGUGUACCUCGGCCCCGGCCUUGACUUAUAGCCCGUCGUGUCAUGCGGCCUCCUGCGACCGAGGAACGCGCUUCGGCUCGGAUGUUGGCGUAAUGGUUGUCAGCGACC
This 1239-nucleotide ribosomal RNA is filed under the name uncultured fungus. RNAcentral describes it as "eukaryotic LSU rRNA". The stretch from base 609 to 1239 matches the Rfam family "Eukaryotic large subunit ribosomal RNA", at positions 1 to 649 of the family's 3401-position model. The record is from RNAcentral. Lineage: Eukaryota; Fungi.